UCUCCGUAGGUGAACCUGCGGAGGGAUCAUUACAGAGUUCAUGCCCUACCGGGUAGAUCUCCCACCCCAUGUUAUUAUUACUUUGUUGCUUUGGCGGGCCGUUAGGCUCCGGCCCGACUACCGGCCCCGGCUGGUAAGCGCCCGCCAGAGGACCCAAAACCCUGAAUAUUAGUGUCGUCUGAGUACUAUAUAAUAGUUAAAACUUUCAACAACGGAUCUCUUGGUUCUG
Molecule: unclassified non-coding RNA, 229 nt
Filed under: plant metagenome
Description: partial contains small subunit ribosomal RNA, internal transcribed spacer 1, and 5.8S ribosomal RNA
Source: RNAcentral